Molecule: microRNA precursor, 90 nt
Filed under: Triticum aestivum (bread wheat)
Lineage: Eukaryota; Viridiplantae; Streptophyta; Magnoliopsida; Poales; Poaceae
Also listed under: 1 other name
Description: mir-160 microRNA precursor family
Rfam family: mir-160 microRNA precursor family
About the family: The hairpin precursors (represented here) are predicted based on base pairing and cross-species conservation -- their extents are not known. In this case the mature sequence is excised from the 5' arm of the hairpin.
Source: Rfam by way of RNAcentral
GUGCACCACUCCCGCGGUGCGCCAUUAGUAAAAAAGGUUUUUUUUAAAAAAAUUCAAAACUACUAAUGGCGCACCAUGGGAGUGGUGCGC